Molecule: ribosomal RNA, 496 nt
Filed under: uncultured bacterium
Lineage: Bacteria
Description: partial 16S ribosomal RNA
Rfam family: Bacterial small subunit ribosomal RNA
Source: RNAcentral
GAUGAACGCUGGCGGCGUGCCUAAUACAUGCAAGUCGAGCGAACAGACGAGGAGCUUGCUCCUCUGACGUUAGCGGCGGACGGGUGAGUAACACGUGGAUAACCUACCUAUAAGACUGGGAUAACUUCGGGAAACCGGAGCUAAUACCGGAUAAUAUAUUGAACCGCAUGGUUCAAUAUUGAAAGACGGUUUUGCUGUCACUUAUAGAUGGACCCGCGCCGCAUUAGCUAGUUGGUAAGGUAACGGCUUACCAAGGCAACGAUGCGUAGCCGACCUGAGAGGGUGAUCGGCCACACUGGAACUGAGACACGGUCCAGACUCCUACGGGAGGCAGCAGUAGGGAAUCUUCCGCAAUGGGCGAAAGCCUGACGGAGCAACGCCGCGUGAGUGAUGAAGGUCUUCGGAUCGUAAAACGCUGUUAUUAGGGAAGAACAAAUGUGUAAGUAACUAUGCACGUCUUGACGGUACCUAAUCAGAAAGCCACGGCUAACUACGU